Populus euphratica (Euphrates poplar) is the source of this 2618-nucleotide long non-coding RNA. RefSeq lists it as uncharacterized. The transcript is spliced from 2 exons. Lineage: Eukaryota; Viridiplantae; Streptophyta; Magnoliopsida; Malpighiales; Salicaceae. The record is from RefSeq and is a predicted model, not a curated record.
UCAAUGUACAAUGUUCAGAAAAGCCAAAGGACUGCUUACAGUUUAGGCCAAAUACACCAAAAAUAGCAUUGCAGAAUGAAAUGAAAGAGCGAUUAAUUUCAACCAUGCACAAAUUUCUUUAAGAGGGAUGAAACUACAGCGGUUGACCCCUUCAUCAUUUAUGAAAAGGACAUGAUCUGCACUGCCCACAAUCAACAUAUAACAAGCAGGGGCCUUGGAAUCCUUUAGCAUGCUGUUCUAUUGACAGGAAAGGGACAAGAGCCAGACCCCCACAAGAUAAGUGGAUGAAAGGAAAUCCAUUCAUUAUAACAUUUAACCAAACUACAGAGGCAAUAUGUGAAACUAUUAGAAAACUUAUAAUACCAACAGAAUAACCGAAGAAAACCACUAAAACCUUAUUAAACUUGAGAAACGAAACAAUAAAAAAGAAUGGAAAACUUGCUACAGCUUGAUCAAGUUGAAAUUUAAGAUUGAAACUACUUCAGUAUUAAGGUAGGUUUAUGAUAGGUAGACCCAAAUUAUAGAUGGAUUGGCAAAAGCAAUUAGUACCUUAAGAUAGAAUAAUAGGUUUCGUAUUUUAGCACUUACAUACAACGAAUAGUCGAUUACAGCAUGCUGUUUCCAGCAAUGGGUAGCAAUAACCCUAUCUAACAUCAAAGAUCAGUUCAAGAAGGAAUUAUCAUUCCAGAAGCAGGCAAACACAACACAUUUAUGAUGUAUGUCCUUUCUGUGUGCAAUGCAUGGAAUUCCUCAUUCAGAACCGAUUCUUAACUUCCCAUACCACAAGCUAGCACAUUAUUUAUUAGGAGUCCAUUUUGCAUGACUUUUACAAAUUGAAUUAAGAUGCUUUUGACUUUUGAUCAAAGAAAAGUCACAAUUAUGUUUACUCAAAAAUAACUUCAAUAACAAAAAUUUCUUAUAAAUUUGAGUCAAGAUUUUGCUUUAUCAAAAGUUAAACUUGUAACCUCCAACUUUUUUGAUUCUACGUUUUGCCAUCUCCAUUAUUCAAAGAAAUUGCUUUGUGUUUUGAAAAAACAUACUUCUAUCUUGAAUUAUUUGUAUCACAAGUAUUCUACAAAGAAGAUAAACUUAUGAGAAGAUAUUGUCCCGGUACCAUUCUACCUUGUCAAGAUGACACCAAACCUUGAGCAGUUCAUUAGCUGAAGUGUAGCUCAUGAAAGAGAGUUAACAUUUGAGGUAUAACUAUUGACUUGAGAAAGACACAUACAAAUAAUUUUAUCCUAAAAUGUUCUUGCAAGCCCAUGAGUUGUCUCUAACACAAGAUGGCAGUUUUACUUCUCUUAGACAAAUUAUAUUGGAUCAUCUAUAGAUUCAUCAACCUUAUUGCUCAGAUAAAAGUGGCAGUAGAUUCAGAAAUUUGUUAAAUUAAAAAUUUCCUCAAGCAAGGGGAUCAUCCCAACACCAGAAUAAUAUUUCAACAGAACAGAAAAAUUGGCUGACUGGUCAACAUGUAUGACAUGAGCCAAAGCAGAAAGCAGUACAAACAUGAUCAGGAUGCACCAUCAUUCUGGACUUAAACUAGAAAACGAGCCAAUGAAGCCAAAGCGGUGGAUAAAAAUGAGAUGUCAUCCCGUCACAGUGAACAGAUUGAAUACUCGUUAUAAAUGACAAAUCCAAACAAAUUCCAGACCCUGAUUCCUAUUAUGGUUUUGUACAAGAAAAAGGCCUGGCAUCAGUGUGCUUAAGUUUUGAGAGAGCAAAGACAUAAAUGUUAAAGAGGGAGGGGGUGGGAAAGAGAUGCGAGUGAAUACGCAGAUUAUUUGGAAAUUUGCAGCCACUCAUGAAUCAUGAGUUCACCCAAAGAGAGAGACGGUGUCUGGUUUCAAGAAUCACAUGACUAUGCUACUAUUGUCCAGUUUCAAGAAUCACAGGACUAUGAUACUAUUCACGCUAGUACUUGGCUUUAUUGAACUCAUCUUAAGCCCUAAACUUUUAUGCUUAUGUGUGGUUGGCAUGAAGAAGCUGCCAUCAAAGUAGUAGCAGAGUUGAUCAGUGAUAGCAACAAAGCAUACAAAAGUUUAACCUUGGUGACAGGGGACCGGUAUGGUUAAGUCAAAUGACACAAUCGCAUAACCUUAUAACCAAAAAAUUUACCACUCAAACACAGGCAUUAUGUCAAGAAAAUAAAUAGCAACCAAUUAACUCAAUCUCCAAACAAAGAAAGAUAUAGUUAUUAAUAUUUAAACCAACUCCACCACAAAUAGACAGUGAAACUAUUCGGCAAUAACUAUAUCAAGAAAGUAUAUCUUGCAGAAAGGCAAGCCAGAUGACUUUGCUAAGAAAGAAAUAUCUUGAAAUAUGAGCAACAUGUACUUGUCCAACAUUAACCUGAAUAGAUUUUGAAAUGACAAAUACUAUCAAACAUGUCAAAUUGCAAGAUUAAAGAAAAGGGAACAUCACAAGCAAGAAAUCAAUAACAAGAAACUACCAAUUGAUACCCAGACUAUAUCAUCAUUAUUAUUAGUAAAAAAAGAUAGCUCAAACCAUCUCAGGCAUGCAUUUUUAUCUAUUAUCACAAUUCAUCCAUGACCGAGGUUUUUUUACUCAAAAAAGAAAGUUACAUCAAUUACUCUAAAAGUUAUAAACCAAAAAAAAAA